Long non-coding RNA from Dermacentor silvarum, 487 nucleotides. RefSeq lists it as uncharacterized. NCBI's taxonomy places the organism in Eukaryota, Metazoa, Arthropoda, Arachnida, Ixodida, Ixodidae. The transcript is spliced from 3 exons. The record is from RefSeq and is a predicted model, not a curated record.
CUACGGACGCGUCCACAGCUGCCCGGGCCCUCACGCUGGCGGCAUGCGCUGUUGCGGGUUCCAGGUGAAAUAUCUGAGCAGUGUAUGGAGUUCCGACUACUGACCGCCUGGAGCACUUCGCAUUCUGAGAACGGGGACCGGCAAGAUACGCAGCUCUGAUCACUUCAACGGGUACUCAGAGCGUCACGAGCUCACAGCUUAUCGUGCACGCAUGGAUCUAGCAGAGCACUGGGAGAGCUGUCGUGAGCUAUAUUCUGCUGGCGCCCAUGACAUGGCAGCUUCGUGGCGCCAUCUACGGGCACCUUGUGAGCCUUCCUACCAACGCGUCAUGAAGUCGGUGUGCCUCUUCAUCUUUGGUAUACGCAAAGGUUGCCAACCUCGAUGUUGCGUCGGAUACUGUCCAGCCGCAGUGGCAAUCAGUCGCGUGCUGCAAGGUCACGACCUCAUCGGGAAUGCAGUUGUCGCAGCCUGCCUGCUGUCAUGAGGG